UACAGAGGUCCCAAGCGUUGUUCGGAUUCACUGGGCGUAAAGGGUGCGUAGGCGGUCGGGUAAGUCUGAUGUGAAAUCUUCAAGCUUAACUUGGAAACUGCAUCGGAUACUAUUCGGCUAGAGGAAUGGAGGGGAGACUGGAAUACUUGGUGUAGCAGUGAAAUGCGUAGAUAUCAAGUGGAACACCAGUGGCGAAGGCGAGUCUCUGGACAUUUCCUGACGCUGAGGCACGAAAGCCAGGGGAGCAAGCGGG
This 253-nucleotide ribosomal RNA is filed under the name uncultured bacterium. Its description in RNAcentral is "partial 16S ribosomal RNA". It matches the Rfam family "Bacterial small subunit ribosomal RNA", at positions 524 to 776 of the family's 1533-position model. The record is from RNAcentral.